GGUGACUUGUGAUCUAGAAUUGGGUUUCAUUAAUAUAUGUUGAAUAUUGGUCCAAGUCCCUAGCUCAAGGUUGAAGUGCUCAAACCAAAGAGACAAAGUUGGAUGCAGCUCUCAAGUGGAAAUAUUGAUCAAGUAUGGCAUGUUUCAUGAUGAUGAAGCUCAAGAGGAUGAAUAUUGUAUUUAUGUGUUGAUCUUGAGUGUAGGCAUGCCGUACUAUCAAGAGGGAUGAAUCACAUGGUCAUUUGAUAAAGUCUCAGUGCUCAAGUUUUCUAUUUGAGUUGAUGAGAGACACAAAAGCCACACGUACACACUCUGUCGAGUCAGGCAGUGGCAAAAUUGGAAGCUCCGGUUUUGGAAACAGGAAGUUCCAAUUUUGGGUGCCACGUAUCUCUAACGGCUAGUUGUUUUGAAAAAGUGGAGGUUCCGAUUUUAGGAAACCGGUAGUUCCAGUUUUGGUCUG
This 460-nucleotide long non-coding RNA is filed under the name Setaria viridis. RNAcentral describes it as "long non-coding RNA (SVIR_LNC003974)". Lineage: Eukaryota; Viridiplantae; Streptophyta; Magnoliopsida; Poales; Poaceae. The record is from RNAcentral.